Rosa chinensis is the source of this 1534-nucleotide long non-coding RNA. RefSeq lists it as uncharacterized. NCBI's taxonomy places the organism in Eukaryota, Viridiplantae, Streptophyta, Magnoliopsida, Rosales, Rosaceae. The transcript has 2 exons. The record is from RefSeq and is a predicted model, not a curated record.
AGGAGCCUUUCUCCGGAUGCCACUCUUGCCCUAGUCUGUAGCUUUUCAAUUUUCUGAUUUAAAAGAAAUUAGAAAACAAAGGCUGGCCUAUCCUACACUAUCCGCUUUAGAUAUCCGUUCCAUGUGCGCAUGCGAUUAUCUUUGUUUCCUCGCAUUGACUCCCUUCUUUAGUUAUACCUUUCCCUUCCUCUUCAACUUCAUCACAUUCACACCCCACUUCACUCUUUCAUCUGUCCUCUGAUUUGAAGAUCUGAGAGUCCCUGCACACUUCGAGUUUGAUUUUGUUACAUUCACUUGCUCCGUUCUAAGCGGAGGAACUGGAAGAUCAAGCAACCAGCUGUCCUUUAUGGAUCCAUAAGUCAUAACGUCUAUAUUCAAACAUGGAGUUUCCCAUUUCAAUUGUUGGAUCAAUUCACUACAGGAUCUAGAGAAUCAAACAAGUUGUUGUGAAUAAGGUAGGCACGAAAUCAUCAAAAUUGGCAUGUUCCCUAGAAAAGAAAUGGAUUAUGAGCCCUUUGAAACGUGGAUUUCAUUUGAUAAAAUCAUGGAGAAGUGUAUUUGAUUGUAUGGAAUAGGGGGUGUGGGGAAGAAGACACUCGUCAAAAAAGUUUAUCGGUAGGCUACAAAAGAUAGGAAAAUUCUUGACGAUGUGGUUUUACUACUAGAUGUGAAACAAAAUUCAGACCUGGAAAGAAUUCAGAAAGAAAUUUUUGAAACACCCGGUCUGGGUGCAGAGAAAAGGGAGAGCACAGUCAAGUUAAAGAGGUGUUCGUCUAUGUGACAAGAUAAAAGACAAGAAGGCUCUUGUAAUAUUGGACGAUGUCUGGGAUAACACUGAUUUUGAGGCUGUCAUACGACUUGUUAACAUCUAGAAGUCGAAGAGUACUUUCACCUCAAAUGCAUCUUCAAAAGGGUUUGUGCUAGUUUAUUUGAGAAGAUGGCAGGUGAUAUUGUUAAAGAUCGCAGACUUUGAUUUUGUAGCAACCCAUAUAGCCUUGAUGUGGAGUUUUACUAGUUAUGGAUGUCACAGUUGCAAGAGCUUUAAAAAAUAGAAGUGCUCUCUAUGUGCAUGGUGGAAACUGGAAAGCUGCCUUGAGACGCCUAAAAAGGAGCAUAGUUGGCUCUAGAGUGGAGUUACAAUCAAUUCAAUGACAAGGAGCUUAAACCAUUGUUUAACAGUCGAAGAAGUUGAUAGGCAAGCUAUGAAAGAUAAAAUCUUGUCUCUGUGACAUGAUAAAAGACAAGAAGAUUCUGAUAAUUUUAAAUGAUGUUUGGGAUAAAAUUGAUUUUGGUGUUGUGGAACUUCCUAGUUAUUGUGAUGUGCUGCUAAUAUGCUGAUGCAUUUAGCUAGUGUAUAGACUAUGUGGGUUGCAAAUGUUCUGAAAUGUGUGGGACUGUCAGGAGUCCCUACUUUAGCUCAAUAAGUGCAAAACAUGCAAUUUUGUUACUUGGGGGUCUAUACCGUUUAAGUUAAGCUGUAACCUUUGAUUAUCAAUCUUUUACACCCUUAACUUGAGUUUUAACUUGCAAUGAA